Molecule: ribosomal RNA, 383 nt
Filed under: uncultured eukaryote
Lineage: Eukaryota
Description: partial 18S ribosomal RNA
Rfam family: Eukaryotic small subunit ribosomal RNA
Source: RNAcentral
CAAUAGCGUAUAUUAAAGUUGUUGCAGUUAACAAGCUCGUAGUUGGAUUUGUGGUGUGUCCAGUCGGCCUUUGCUCUCUGAGUGAUUGUGCUGUACUGGUCUGCCAUGUUUGGGUGGAAUCUGUGUGGCAUUAAGUUGUCGUGCAGGGGAUGCCCAUCGUUUACUGUGAAAAAAUUAGAGUGUUCAAAGCAGGCUUAUGCCGUUGAAUAUAUUAGCAUGGAAUAAUGAUAUAGGACCUUGGUACUAUUUUGUUGGUUUGCGCACUAAGGUAAUGAUUAAGAGGGACAGUUGGGGGUAUUUGUAUUCCAUUGUCAGAGGUGAAAUUCUUAGAUUUUUGGAAGACAAACUACUGCGAAAGCAUUUACCAAGGAUGUUUUCAUUAA